CCUACGGGUGGCAGCAGUGGGGAAUAUUGCACAAUGGGCGCAAGCCUGAUGCAGCCAUGCCGCGUGUGUGAAGAAGGCCUUCGGGUUGUAAAGCACUUUCAGCGGGGAGGAAGGCGGUGAGGUUAAUAACCUCAUCGAUUGACGUUACCCGCAGAAGAAGCACCGGCUAACUCCGUGGCCAGCAGCCGCGGUAAUACGGAGGGUGCAAGCGUUAAUCGGAAUUACUGGGCGUAAAGCGCACGCAGGCGGUCUGUCAAGUCGGAUGUGAAAUCCCCGGGCUCAACCUGGGAACUGCAUUCGAAACUGGCAGGCUAGAGUCUUGUAGAGGGGGGUAGAAUUCCAGGUGUAGCGGUGAAAUGCGUAGAGAUCUGGAGGAAUACCGGUGGCGAAGGCGGCCCCCUGGACAAAGACUGACGCUCAGGUGCGAAAGCGUGGGGAGCAAACAGGAUUAGAUACCCUAGUAGUC
This 466-nucleotide ribosomal RNA is filed under the name uncultured Klebsiella sp. RNAcentral describes it as "bacterial SSU rRNA". It matches the Rfam family "Bacterial small subunit ribosomal RNA", at positions 338 to 795 of the family's 1533-position model. Lineage: Bacteria; Pseudomonadati; Pseudomonadota; Gammaproteobacteria; Enterobacterales; Enterobacteriaceae. The record is from RNAcentral.